This 421-nucleotide ribosomal RNA is filed under the name uncultured bacterium. RNAcentral describes it as "bacterial SSU rRNA". It matches the Rfam family "Bacterial small subunit ribosomal RNA", at positions 954 to 1375 of the family's 1533-position model. The record is from RNAcentral.
GCAUAACGCGAAGAACCUUACCAGGUCUUGACAUCCCUCUGACCGGUCCGUAACGGGACCUUUCCUUCGGGACAGAGGAGACAGGUGGUGCAUGGUUGUCGUCAGCUCGUGUCGUGAGAUGUUGGGUUAAGUCCCGCAACGAGCGCAACCCCUAUCCUUAGUAGCCAGCAGUUCGGCUGGGCACUCUAGGGAGACUGCCAGGGAUAACCUGGAGGAAGGCGGGGAUGACGUCAAAUCAUCAUGCCCCUUAUGAUCUGGGCUACACACGUGCUACAAUGGUGACUACAAAGGGAAGCAACCCUGUGAAGGUGAGCAAAUCCCAAAAAGGUCAUCCCAGUUCGGAUUGUAGUCUGCAACUCGACUACAUGAAGAUGGAAUCGCUAGUAAUCGCGAAUCAGAAUGUCGCGGUGAAUACGUUCCC